This 471-nucleotide ribosomal RNA is filed under the name uncultured bacterium. RNAcentral's name for it is "bacterial SSU rRNA". It matches the Rfam family "Bacterial small subunit ribosomal RNA", at positions 28 to 505 of the family's 1533-position model. The record is from RNAcentral.
GAUGAACGCUGGCGGCGUGCUUAACACAUGCAAGUCGAGCGAAGCACUAAAGCGGAUUUCUUCGGAUUGAAGGUUUAGUGACUGAGCGGCGGACGGGUGAGUAACGCGUGGGUAACCUGCCUCAUACAGGGGGAUAACAGUUGGAAACGGCUGCUAAUACCGCAUAAGCGCACAGUACCGCAUGGUACGGUGUGAAAAACUCCGGUGGUAUGAGAUGGACCCGCGUCUGAUUAGGUAGUUGGUGGGGUAACGGCCUACCAAGCCGACGAUCAGUAGCCGACCUGAGAGGGUGACCGGCCACAUUGGGACUGAGACACGGCCCAAACUCCUACGGGAGGCAGCAGUGGGGAAUAUUGCACAAUGGGGGAAACCCUGAUGCAGCGACGCCGCGUGAGCGAAGAAGUAUUUCGGUAUGUAAAGCUCUAUCAGCAGGGAAGAAAAUGACGGUACCKACUAAGAGCCCCRMYUYYG